RNAcentral lists this ribosomal RNA (396 nucleotides) under uncultured bacterium. RNAcentral describes it as "partial 16S ribosomal RNA". It matches the Rfam family "Bacterial small subunit ribosomal RNA", at positions 360 to 774 of the family's 1533-position model. The record is from RNAcentral.
AAUAUGUCAAAAGGGAGGAAACUCUGUUGCAGCGACGCCGCGUGAACGAUGAUGGACUUAGGGUCGUACAGUACUGUCCUUGUAGACGAUAAUGAGGGUACACAAGGGAGAAGACCUUGCAUACUCCGUGCGUGCAGACGCUGUAAUACGUAGGGGGCAAGCGUUGUCCGGAUUUAUUGGGCGUAAAGGGUGCGUAGGCGGCCUUUUAAGUCGGUUGUGGAAGGUCACGGCUCAACCGUGGUAAGCAUUUGAAAAGGGAAGGAUAGAGUUAAGGAGGGGAAAGUGGAUUUCAUAGUGUAGCGGUGAAAUGCAUAGAUAUUAGGAGGAACACCAGUGGCGAAGGCAGCUUACUGGUCCGGAACAGACGCAGGGGUGCGAGAGAGUGGGGAGCAAACA